UCUUCUUCUCCCUUCGUUUCCC
Molecule: microRNA, 22 nt
Filed under: Caenorhabditis elegans
Lineage: Eukaryota; Metazoa; Nematoda; Chromadorea; Rhabditida; Rhabditidae
Description: cel-miR-8209-3p
Source: miRBase by way of RNAcentral